This 429-nucleotide ribosomal RNA is filed under the name Bacillota bacterium. RNAcentral's name for it is "Firmicutes bacterium partial 16S ribosomal RNA". It matches the Rfam family "Bacterial small subunit ribosomal RNA", at positions 355 to 776 of the family's 1533-position model. The record is from RNAcentral. Lineage: Bacteria; Bacillati; Bacillota.
UAGGGAAUCUUCGGCAAUGGACGGAAGUCUGACCGAGCAACGCCGCGUGAGUGAAGAAGGUUUUCGGAUCGUAAAGCUCUUUUGUUAGAGAAGAACGUUGGUAGGAGUGGAAAAUCUACCAAGUGACGGUAACUAACCAGAAAGGGACGGCUAACUACGUGCCAGCAGCCGCGGUAAUACGUAGGUCCCGAGCGUUGUCCGGAUUUAUUGGGCGUAAAGCGAGCGCAGGCGGUUCUUUAAGUCUGAAGUUAAAGGCAGUGGCUUAACCAUUGUACGCUUUGGAAACUGGAGGACUUGAGUGCAGAAGGGGAGAGUGGAAUUCCAGGUGUAGCGGUGAAAUGCGUAGAUAUAUGGAGGAACACCGGUGGCGAAAGCGGCUCUCUGGGCUGUAACUGACGCUGAGGCUCGAAAGCGUGGGGAGCAAACAGG